This 220-nucleotide long non-coding RNA is filed under the name Medicago truncatula (barrel medic). RNAcentral's name for it is "long non-coding RNA (MTRU_LNC007686)". Lineage: Eukaryota; Viridiplantae; Streptophyta; Magnoliopsida; Fabales; Fabaceae. The record is from RNAcentral.
CAUUUUCACCAAUAAAAUUAUGUACCUUAAGGGUCCACGAAAAGAAGAACUUCUAUCAUCCUCACAUUGAAGAACUAACGAUCCACAUCUGCAUCUCUAAAGUUCUAUGAUAUCAAAAUGGACCAUUUGUACAAAUUAUUUGGCUCCACUGAGAGCAGUGUGACCCAACUAUUUUGCCCAUGUUACAAUCUUCUAUUACUGAGAAUAUUGUUUAAGAUAG